UGUGCCAGGCACCACGAUAGGCUCUGGGAUUACCACACCAAGCAAACGCCGACUCAGACCUUGGCUCGUGGAGCUUCCAGUCCAGGGGGCUCACGAGUGAGAGCAUCAUCAUCGCAGGCUGUGCGGUAGGUAUCCUUAGGACGAGUCGGCCAUCAGGGACGGCAUAAUUGGCUGCAUUUUCCCUGUACUACAGCAGGGAAGCAUACAUUUCCUGGAGAACUUUCUACUAAAAGCGUUAAAGUCGUUUUUAAAUCUCACUUUCCCCGAAAAGCCCACUACUCCAAACAUCUCUGCUCCCAGCCUGCCCCCACCUGGUCCCUCCCCUGGAGCCCCAAGGCUCAGGCAGCGCUGGGUCCGCCCACCUCCCUGCCUCCCUCUGAUUGGCUAAUUUUCCCUUCUCUGCCUAACGCUGCUUUCGCCUGUUGGGUUUGUUGGGCUCCCAGCCCUCCUGCCUCAGUGACAAAAAAAGACCAAAGUGCCCUGGAAAGAUGAACCAUCCUAUGGAGAACAGCAGUCCUGGAGAAUGACUAUGUCCGCCGUGGACUUUUUGCAUGAAAAAAGAAAUGCAGCCUUCCUGGGACCACCAUGCUGUGAGAAUGUCAGGCUGCAUGACAGGCCCUGGAGGAUACGACACUACCUGGGAAGAAAGAGACCAAGGAAUGUUAAAUGUGCCGGACAUUUGAGUACAAAGUCCUUUGGGUAGUGGGUCCUCCGUCUAGAACAGAGAUAAACCAUUCAGCCAAGCCCUCCACACAUUCCUCACCUGCAAAAUCAUGAGCAAAAUAAAUGGUGGUUUGAAACCAUUCAGUAUUGGGGCAUUUUGUUUCCUAGCUACAGAUCAUCAGAACGCUGAAUAACAAAUAUUUUACAGUGACCAA
Leopardus geoffroyi (Geoffroy's cat) is the source of this 878-nucleotide long non-coding RNA. RefSeq lists it as uncharacterized. The transcript is spliced from 3 exons. NCBI's taxonomy places the organism in Eukaryota, Metazoa, Chordata, Mammalia, Carnivora, Felidae. The record is from RefSeq and is a predicted model, not a curated record.